Molecule: ribosomal RNA, 508 nt
Filed under: uncultured Acidobacteriota bacterium
Lineage: Bacteria; Pseudomonadati; Acidobacteriota
Description: bacterial SSU rRNA
Rfam family: Bacterial small subunit ribosomal RNA
Source: RNAcentral
AAAAAAAAGAGUUUGAUCCUGGCUCAGAAUCAACGCUGGCGGCGUGCCUCAGACAUGCAAGUCGAACGAUUAAACUUUCCUUCGGGAAAGAUAUAGAGUGGCGCACGGGUGAGUAACACGUAAGUAAUCUACCUUUGAGUGGGGAAUAACUCGGGGAAACUCGAGCUAAUACCGCAUAACGCAGCGGCACCGCAAGGUGACAGUUGUUAAAGGAGCAAUCCGCUUGAAGAGGAGCUUGCGGCAGAUUAGGUAGUUGGUAAGGUAAUGGCUUACCAAGCCUGCGAUCUGUAUCCGGUCUAAGAGGACGGUCGGACACACUGACACUGAAUAACGGGUCAGACUCCUACGGGAGGCAGCAGUCGGGAAUUUUGGGCAAUGGGCGAAAGCCUGACCCAGCAACGCCGCGUGAAGGAUGAAGUAUUUCGGUAUGUAAACUUCGAAAGAAUGGGAAGAAUCAAUGACGGUACCAUUUAUAAGCUCCGGCUAACUACGUGCCAGCAGCCGCGGU